UACCUACGGGACGCAGCAGUAGGGAAUCUUCCACAAUGGACGAAAGUCUGAUGGAGCAACGCCGCGUGAGUGAAGAAGGGUUUCGGCUCGUAAAGCUCUGUUGGUAGUGGAGAAAGAUAGAGGUAGUAACUGGCCUUUAUUUGACGGUAAUUACUUAGAAAGUCACGGGUAACUACGUGCCAGCAGCAGCGGGAAUACGUAGGGGGCAAGCGUUGUCCGGAUUUAUUGGGCGUAAAGCGAGUGCAGGCGG
This 250-nucleotide ribosomal RNA is filed under the name uncultured bacterium. Its description in RNAcentral is "partial 16S ribosomal RNA". It matches the Rfam family "Bacterial small subunit ribosomal RNA", at positions 335 to 578 of the family's 1533-position model. The record is from RNAcentral.